UACGGAGGGCGCAAGCGUUGUUCGGAAUCACUGGGCGUAAAGCGCGUUUAGGCGGCUCUGCAAGUCGGGUGUGAAAUCCCGAGGCUCAACCUCGGAACUGCACUCGAUACUGCUUGGCUCGAGUCCCGGAGAGGGUGGCGGAAUUCCCGGUGUAGGGGUGAAAUCCGUAGAUAUCGGGAGGAACACCAGUGGCGAAGGCGGCCACCUGGACGGUGAUUGACGCUGAGACGCGAAAGCGUGGGGAGCAAACAGG
Molecule: ribosomal RNA, 253 nt
Filed under: uncultured bacterium
Lineage: Bacteria
Description: partial 16S ribosomal RNA
Rfam family: Bacterial small subunit ribosomal RNA
Source: RNAcentral